This 326-nucleotide ribosomal RNA is filed under the name uncultured eukaryote. RNAcentral describes it as "partial 18S ribosomal RNA". It matches the Rfam family "Eukaryotic small subunit ribosomal RNA", at positions 1470 to 1796 of the family's 1831-position model. The record is from RNAcentral.
CCCUUAGAUGUUCUGGGCCGCACGCGCGCUACACUGAUGCAUUCAACAAGCCUAGCCUUGACCGAGAGGUCCGGGUAAUCUUUGAAACUGCAUCGUGAUGGGGCUAGAUUAUUGCAAUUAUUAAUCUUCAACGAGGAAUGCCUAGUAAGCGUGAUUCAUCAAAUCGCGUUGAUUACGUCCCUGCCCUUUGUACACACCGCCCGUCGCCCCUACCGAUUGAAUGUGUUGGUGAGGAGCUCGGAUUGGCAGCAGUUGGUGGUUCGCCACCGGCUAUUGCUGAGAAGUCCUCCAAACCGCCCCAUUUAGAGGAAGGAGAAGUCGUANCA